GAUGAACGCUAGCUACAGGCUUAACACAUGCAAGUCGCAGGGUAACAUGAGGAAAGCUUGCUUUCCUUGAUGACGACUGGCGCACGGGUGAGUAACGCGUAUCCAACCUUCCCAUAACUACGGGAUAACCCGUUGAAAGACGGCCUAAUACCGUAUGAUAUCGUUUGCUGACAUCAAAUAACGAUUAAAGGUUUAGCGGAUAUGGAUGGGGAUGCGUCUGAUUAGCUUGUUGGCGGGGUAACGGCCCACCAAGGCGACGAUCAGGAGGGGUUCUGGGAGGAAGGUCCCCCAGAUUGGAACUGCGACACGGACCACACUCGUACGGGAGGCAGGGGUGAGGAAUGUUGGGCGAUGGGCGAGGACCUGAACCAGCCAAGUAGCGUGCAAGACGACGGCGCUAGGAAUUGUAAACUGCUUUUAUGGAGGGAUAGAGUGCGUGACGGGUCAUGCAUUGCAGGUACCACAUGAAUAAGGACCGGCUAAUUCCGUG
RNAcentral lists this ribosomal RNA (490 nucleotides) under uncultured bacterium. RNAcentral's name for it is "partial 16S ribosomal RNA". It matches the Rfam family "Bacterial small subunit ribosomal RNA", at positions 28 to 507 of the family's 1533-position model. The record is from RNAcentral.